This 411-nucleotide long non-coding RNA is filed under the name Heterocephalus glaber (naked mole-rat). RNAcentral's name for it is "lncRNA (ENSHGLG00000033237.1)". Lineage: Eukaryota; Metazoa; Chordata; Mammalia; Rodentia; Bathyergidae. The record is from RNAcentral.
CCAAUGGCUGUGCUUUACUCCAUUCUAAGCAUUUCAGGCAUAAUUAGUUUCAUAGUUUACAAAGAAAAUAUCAAGGAGAAAUUUUCUUACAGGUUUGGGACUGGAAUUGAUAAACGAUUGAUUAUAACAGAGGGAGAACAGUAUAUAUUUGUCCAAAGAACUCCACAAAAGAAUUUGGGAGCAGGCCAGUGAACAGGCAGGUGAAACAUCACUAGAAGCUCCUAAGAAACAGGAAGACUGGCAAGGUGUCCAGUAUGUCCUCCCAAAGAAGACAGGAAAACAAGACACAUGUGAGAUCAGUGGAUCAAACUUGGGACCUUGCGGUUGUGAGAGAGCUGGCCGUGCAUAGUGGUGCAUGCCUGUGAUCUCAGCACUCGGGAGGCUGAGGCGGGGGAUCGCUGAGAGUUUGAG